CAAAAAUGUCUUUUUAGAUGAUAGGAAAUCUUUGUUUCUUCGCCAAAAAUAGAUCACCAAAGUAAGCCAACUGCUUACCAAAAGGAGACAUCUAGGUUUUUUUUUUUUUUUUCCAGUUAUAAUACAGUGAAUUUGAGUUGUAUGAUGUAUACUGAUAGUGCUACUUAGAAUUUGGGUAUACCAUGUCAAAGUGCAAGGAUGUUUUCCCGCCUUAGGUUCACUUUUCAAAUGUGUCUCUCACUUAUAUUAACUACCACUGUCUAUAGUUUGACUCAUUUUGACUCUGAAAAGUCAGUUUUUGUAACUAAUUGCCAAUGAAUGUUAGAAUGUUAUAAAUUUAUAGUUGAGUUGGAAAUUUCCUUUUCCUUUAAAUCUGGCGGAAAUGUAUUCAAGACUGAUUUUUCAUUUGCAGUGUGCAGAACCUAACAUUAAUAGUAUUUAACCGAGAGAAUAUAUAUCUGUUUUCUAAAUUGAGUCUGGGUCUUAACUGCUCAUAUCACAUGAUAUGAAGGUUAUAGAAACUACGAUGCUCUCAGACUGUGGUUAAAACAUCAUGUAGGGUUGUUGUUCCUUAUUGCAGAUUUCCUGUAUUAUUUCUAAACUGGCCCAUCUUUUUAUUAUUAGUCCCUUUAAUGCUAUUUAGAGAAAAAGUUCAGCAUCUCAUAUGAAUGUUCUCAGGAAUGGUGAUUAUUUUAAUGGUAAUAGAAAUAGUAGGUACCAUUUAUGAAGCAUCGACUCUGUGCUUGGUACUAUAUUAAUGCAUUAAUACAUUAUCUAGUUUAAUGCUCCAACAAUAACUUUAUCUCCCAUGUUGUGCAUGAGGAAAAUGGAAACUUUUAGAAAUUACAGGUAAUUUGCUGUAAGCCAUACUACCCAGAAGGGACAAAACUGAAGUUUAGCCCAAAUCCUUCUCUAUGAAACAGUUAACAGAAUUUUAUAGUGGUGCAAUUUAAUGUUAGAAAUUAACCUUUUAAUAUCAGCGAAUUUGAUUAAGAAAAUUAUGUGAACUAGAAAUUUUGAAGAAUUUCACUAAAAAUGGCUGCACCCACAGCAUAUGAAGUUCCCAGGUUAGGGGUUGAAUCAGAGUUGCAGGUGCUGGCCUACGCCAUAGCCACAGCAAUGUCAGAUCUGUGCAACGUCUGCAACCUACACCACAGCUCAUGGCAACACCUGAUCUUUAACCUACUGAGUGAGGCCAGGGAUCGAACCCCCAUCGUCAUGGUUACUAGCAAGUUCCUUACCCCUGAGCACAACAGGAACUCCUAAUCAAUAUUUUUGCAGUAAACAAUAUAUACAUGAGGUAUAAAAUUCAAGUUAGAAAAGAUUAUACAGUAAAAAAUAUAUCUUCACUCUCACCUAUACACCUUGGUUUUCCUCCGAAGAGGAAACUAUAAGCACCUGUUCCUCCUCAUAAAUACCCACCAUGAUUAUAAGCACCAGCAUGCAGGCGAGCACCUGUGCAUGUGGGCCCCCCCAACAUUCUUCCUUACACAACCCUGACAAUCCUUCCUUUUUUAUAAUGGAAGCUCAUUCUGUUCUUGGGAAAAUAUGCCUUGCUAAAAUACAGUAUUUCCAAGAUACCUUGCCAUUUGAGCAGUUAUUCAAUACAGUUCUGGCCAAUGAGAGGGAAACAGAAAUUGAGACUUAGGGUUUUAGGGAAUAUUCUUUGGAAGGCUGCAGAAUGUACAGUUUCACUUCUCUCUGCCUGAAAUGUCACUAAAAUAGUGGAACUGGGACAACCAUCUGUGUUAAGGAGGUGGUAAGUCACAUCAGGAAAAUUUGUGAAAGAAAGAAAUAGCCUGGAUUUUUGCCAUUAAAGUGGUAAGGCUGUGGUAGCACCAGACUGCUUCUGUUAGAAAAAUAAAAUUCCUAAUUUAUGUUUCAUCCUUUUAACAACAGCAUAAUAUUCUACUUUGUGGAUGUAGUAUAAUUUAUUUCUCAUCUCCCAUUAAAUUACAGUUAUGUUGUAUUAAUGGUCCCGUUAGAGACAAUUUUGCGAUGUUAUCUAUGUUCAUGUUAAUCUGUGCAUGAACACAUGUAUCUGUGCAACGAAGUCCUAGAAUCAGAACUGCUCAGGCAAAGGGAACACACACUGAGAAAGUUUAGGUGCUGCCCAAUUGCUUGCCAUAGAAAUUGUUCCAGUUUAUUGACAUCGACUCAUGAAAAAGGUUUCUCCACAUUCUUAUAAAUGAAACACAUAAAAUUUUAGAUUUUGUUUUCCAAACUGAAAAGCACAAGGUAGAUCCAAGUGUACUUUUAAUUUAAAUUUCUAAAUGAAAGAUUUUCAUACUUAUUUAAUUUCUAUCAUUAUAAAUAAUAAGGAUGAAAAUCUUUCAUUUGUGAUACAUUCAUUUAGUUUCCUUUUUCUAUACUUGAUAUUCUUUUUCCAAAUUUCAUUGUAUUCAUUUUUACCUAAGGAUUCAAAUUAAAUUUUCAAGUAUUAGGAGAUUCCUUUAUUCUUAUGUAAUUUAUAUAUUCCAAUCUUUGAAUUCGUAGUUAAGGUUUUGUGUUUUUUUUUAAUUCAUGCAAAUUCUUUUACAUUUAAUUAAAUUUAUGUAUGCAACUCAAUUCAAUUUAUGAAAUUGAAAAGGCCUUCUCCACUCAGAUUAUAAAAACUUUCUCCUAUGGAUUUGAAUGUUUGAUCCACUUUGGAGUUCAUUUGGUGUGGCAUGUGAGGUAGGGAUUCAACAUCAUUUUCUUCCAGAUGUUUACUCAGUUGUUCCAACAGAGUUAUUAAAGAAACCCUUUCCCCUUACUAGUUUGUAAUGCCACUUUUAUCAUAUACUAUAUGCUUAUCCAUAUUGGAGUUUAUUUUUGGCCAUUUUGAUCUAUUCCUUUAAUCUGUUUAGUCAUGGUCUAGCAUACAUUAUUUUAAUUAUUGUAGCAUUAUAAGAUGGCUCGUCUUUGGGUUUGGUCCCUCAUUAUUUCAUUUCUCAGAAUUGUUUUUGUUCUUCCUUGUUUAUUUUUCUACAUGAACUUUAAAAACAGCAUAUCUGCUCCUGAAAAAUAUUCUUUUAUUAUAAAUUUAAUAUUAAAUAUAAAGUAAGGAAAAAAAUCUCUGACAGGUAUUCCUAUUCAAAAACAUUAUGUACAUCUUAAUCUUAUUUUAUUUCCUCAGUAGCAUCUUAUGCUUUUAUUCUUACAAUCUUAUACAUUUUCUGUUAAUUUAUUCUAUUUUCACUUUUGGUCGCUAUCACUAUUGUAAAAGGGGUUUCUAUUUGCUCUUUUAACUUGCCAUUGUUUUUAUACAUGAUUUCAGAAUUUUAACUUACCAAAUGCAUUGCUCACUUGCGAAGUUUUUUAAUUCAUUUUCUAGAAUUUUCUAGAUAAAUAAAAGUAUCAUUAGCAAAUAGUGAUAAUUUUCUCCUUUUCCAAUUUUUAAGCUUAGUAUUGCUUCCUUAUUUCCAAGUGCAAUGAGUAGAGUAGAAAUUCAAAUUCAAAUGAGGGCUCUAUUUUAACUAAAAAACAUUAAUAUACACUCCCAACUUUACUCCAUACCUCCCACUCCCAUUCUCAGCACUAUUAAAUUUAUCCUGGUACAGCUUUCUCUCGGAAGAGCAUAACUAUCCAUAGAGAAUAUAUGUUAGCUACAACUAAUUUUUGGUGGAAAACAAGGUAGUGGAAAAAGGUAAAAAUGGUGAUAAAUUUAAAAACUAUAUGAAAGCCAAUGAAAUUCCUAAAUAAUGAAAAUAUUUACAAGCUUUAGCAAACAUUUCCACCUUUUAAAAUAGUAUUCACAGCAAUAAAAUCCAAUAUAAAGGAAAACAUUUCCCUGGAGUUUAGUGUUUAAAAAAAAAAAAAAACCUAUUUGGAAAAUUCCUCACUUUAAUCAAGAUAGAUAUUCAUGUAUAUGAUAGAGCUUUAUAAGUAUGUUCAAUAUUUUUUACUGGAGUCAAAUUUCAAUUAUUUAAUAUGGAACACUUUCUAUCCAAGUAACUGGAAACUUUAAGAUGACUAGAUAACUUUUUAAAAUUAGUGUGCAUUUUAGAUAGAAUUGUCAAACAUUUAAGCCCUCUUCAUUCUUUGUUAUAUUUCACAUUUGAUUUUCAUCAGAAACAAAUAAAUGGAUAAAAAGAACCAUCAAAUAAGAAAAAUGAAAUAUGUAAAAUAAUGAAUUAAAUAAGAUCAAAGAUGAUAAAGUCAGUUUACUAAGAGGAAUAGUUUACCUACUGCAAAUGUUGAUCUCAAAACUAAUUUCACAGCAAAUUCUUUCC
Molecule: long non-coding RNA, 4214 nt
Filed under: Sus scrofa (pig)
Lineage: Eukaryota; Metazoa; Chordata; Mammalia; Artiodactyla; Suidae
Description: lncRNA (ENSSSCG00000055813.1)
Source: RNAcentral